RNAcentral lists this long non-coding RNA (2961 nucleotides) under Prunus dulcis (almond). RNAcentral's name for it is "sRNA ncRNA". The record is from RNAcentral. Lineage: Eukaryota; Viridiplantae; Streptophyta; Magnoliopsida; Rosales; Rosaceae.
AAUAUCUCUAGAAUUUCCCCAUUUGUAAUAAAAUAUACUUUCGUUUUUGCCAAUGUCGUUUACAGAGUCCACUGUUUUCAAUGGUGGUUCAGAGAAAUCGAGACCAAGGCACCUCGGAAAUGAACAGCGGUGAAGGAACCGUAGAGAAUGGAACUGCUGGGGUUUCUGGGUACGAGCAGUUCAGGGACCAAAGGAUCAAAGAGAACAAUGAGAGAUUGCAGAAGCUGGGAAUUUUGGACCUUGCUCUGAAGCUGAAGCCCAAAGCUGCCACUCCAAAACGUUCCCAGAGUCAGAGAGAUUCGUCUGUUCAGACCAAAAUCCACAAGUCCCCAAGGCGCUCUUCUAGGUAACCCACUUUUCUCCUCUUUCGUUUUAAAGGCUCUCUUGUUUGGGUUCCAGGAAAACGCAAAAGAAAAUGGUAGGAAAGGUUAAAACUUUAAAGGAUUUUCUUUUUCAAAAAAGCGUUUUUUGUUUUUGUUAGGUUGAAGACUGUGGCUCCAGUAAGUUAUGUGGAAAUUAGAAAGCCUAAAGAGAAGGAGAGUAUUAAUAUUUAUAUCAAGAAGGGCUCAAAGCGAGAGGUUUAUACAGAGGAACAUGAGAAGCAGUUGGGGGAUUGUAAUACAAGCUGGCCCCUGGGUGUGGAUUUGGUUAAGGGAGAAACUUGCCACCAAUGCAGGUAGUUCAUGACUCAUGUGAUGGGUUUCUUGCUUUUCUUAUAACAAUUGAAGAUGACUCAUUGUGUUUGUUGUAAUCCCCCGGGACUGGAUAUUUUUGCAUUGUUGUAAACUUGCCACAAAUAUUAUUUCUGAUGUUUAUUUGGUAAAGGUGUGAUCUUGAACUCUGAAAAGAUUUCAUACUUUAUAAGGAUUAGUUGAACCGGCUUUAAUUGACUAGCUGAUAAUGAUGUUCUUAACAACAUUAUCAAAUUUUAACAUGUCAAGUUAUGCAGUACGUUCUAAAAUUUUAGAUAUAGUUUAACUGUAAGUCUGCAAGCUUAGCCCAUUCAUGGUAAACCGAAAAAAGUUGCGUGGCUUGUUUGACAUUUGAAUCAUUGUCCUUAAAAGGAUUCUGUGAGCACCAGAGUUUUUCAAGUUUCAAACUGAUAUAAAUUGUUGUUGUUACCUUUUGGUUGGGUUGUAUUUUUUACUAUAUCAAGCUUGCAUUUGACCUUACAAUAAAUGUAUUUUAGGUUCUCCUUUUCCCAGUAGUUUAUCCUUUACACCACAUUUUAUUUAGAAUCAUUUAAAGUUUGUUGCCUCUUUCGGCUUUAAGCUUUCAAUUCAUCAAAUUACUUAUAUGGACAGAUGAAAAUGUAGCAUUGAAAGAAGUCUUGUCAUUGAUAUGAAAAUUAUGCAUCCAAUUGAAACUUUUUCAAUAUACCAGGUACUCUUUCAAUGGAUUGGUUCCUUCCUAUUCUUCUUUCAGUUUUGCAGUGCAUUGGUUGGUUGUUGCAGCAUUUCGUGCAUGUAUUAAUAUUUUAUACUCUUUAGUAAUUUGUUUUCUAAAUCUAUAAUGGAAAGGAGAUUUCAAGGAUUACUGAUGCUUAGGAGCUCAUACAUAUGAUUAUAACCCAAAGGAAGAUGGUACCUUCUCAAGAGCAUAGAAAAAAUGCUUAAAUUUACUGUUAUACUGGGUUCAUUGCUUAAUCGUACAAUACAUUCAUCAUGCGUUAUUUGAGCUUACCUUUGACUUUUUAAUUAAAGGUGUCCUUUCACUUGGUAAACUAUGCUUAGAGAUGACAUACUUCCUUGCAGGCAUAAAACUCUUGGCCAGCAUACACAUUGCUGCAAAUGUGACUCGGUCCAAGGGCAGUUAUGUGGAGAUUGCUUGUUCACGAGGUAAGUUCUUUCAUAAAUUACCUAUUGAAAGUAACAUUUCAUUUAAUGUUCCAAUUCUUACAAAAAAACAUGCAAUGAAUUUUACCGUCUUCCACAGAUAUGGAGAGAAUAUGCUUGAAGCCAACCAAAAUCCUGAUUGGGUUUGCCCUGUUUGUCGGGACAUCUGCAACUGCAAUCUUUGCCGUAAAGCAAAAGGGUGGGAACCCACUGGUAAUCUGUAUUGGAAGGUUAACCCUAUCAACCUUAUGUUUGCUGCAUGCAUUUGUGAUCAUUAUAUAAUUUGGUGUAAUAUUCUUCUCUUCCAGCAUGAUCCCCACGGUUUCUCAGUUGAUACUCUUAGGUCCUUGCAUGUCAGACUGAGUGAGGUCCUAUCAUCUGUUUGAAAAAAUGAAAAAGAAAUAAAGAGAAAAACAUGCAAUAGAACACAACAUGCAUACAAGCACAGGAACUCAUGCAUCCACAGACAGUUAAAUGCAUAUGCACGUACACACAUGCAUUCACUCAAUGGAAUCACUACAUAGUUUGGCACUGUGAUUUUGGUACAUAAUGAGCAAGUCCACAAGUUAACAUGGAUAACCAAUUGCUAAAUUUUGUUAAUUUAUCAGGUCUCAAAACUGGGUUACAAGUCUCUGGCGCAUUAUCUUAUUCAAACCCACCGUUCCCAGAUAAAAUCAGAAACCUCAGGUGCAGAGGUUGCUGAUGAGGGAUCUGAGCCAUCUUCACAUGAUGAAUUUCUGGAAAGCACAACACAUCAACCUGAGGACUUAAGGCACGAUGAGGGGUUCUUCACAACGGAAGAAAAAAUGGGAGAGAUGCACUUCCUGGGCAUCAAGCAUGUUGAUGUCAAUGAUGUGGGUAAGCUAGAUGAUGUUGCUGCUGGUGAUGCUAAUGAUGGUGAGGCAAAGAGCAGGAACUAAAUAUUUCUGGAUUAUUGAUUGUCUGACAUGAAGCCUGUUCUUAAUACUAAGUAGACUUGGAUCAACUGGUGAAAUUUUGGGAGACACCAAACUCUUUUUGAGCACAAAUAUUCCUCUUUUGUUAGCAGGACAACAAAGAAGGCCACAUCUGUAAUAUUUUGUGGAGUUACUGAUUUCAUUCAAAUAUAUUAACUAUCCUUUCAAGA